Molecule: ribosomal RNA, 253 nt
Filed under: uncultured bacterium
Lineage: Bacteria
Description: partial 16S ribosomal RNA
Rfam family: Bacterial small subunit ribosomal RNA
Source: RNAcentral
UACGUAGGGGGCAAGCGUUGUCCGGAAUCAUUGGGCGUAAAGCGCGUGUAGGCGGCCAGAAAAGUCCGCUGUGAAAACUCGAGGCUCAACUUCGAGCUGUCGGUGGAAACUUUCUGGCUAGAGUCCGGAAGAGGAGAAUGGAAUUCCUGGUGUAGCGGUGAAAUGCGCAGAUAUCGGGAAGAACACCCGUGGCGAAGGCGGUUCUCUGGGACGGUACUGACGCUGAGACGCGAAAGCGUGGGGAGCGAACAGG